RNA transcript from Vitis riparia (riverbank grape), 10913 nucleotides. It is a transcript of the gene named U-box domain-containing protein 43-like, with no coding region annotated. The transcript is spliced from 12 exons. The record is from RefSeq and is a predicted model, not a curated record. NCBI's taxonomy places the organism in Eukaryota, Viridiplantae, Streptophyta, Magnoliopsida, Vitales, Vitaceae.
AUUUUUCUGUCUUUCUGUCUCUACCAAAACGAAGUCUCUCUUCUUUGAGCGAGAAAAAAUUCGCUCUAGGAAGAGUGUCUCAUCAGAACCCUAACUUUCUCGGGAAAAAGGGAUUCCUCAUAGAUUUUUCUGUAAUGCCCUGCUGCUUUUAUGAAUAUUGUUCAAUGAAUUAAUCGAUUUCUUCAUUCAGCAGGUCAGUUUUUUGAGUACUUGUAUGCGUUUUAGUAACGUUGAGGACUCCGGUUGGUUCUCGGGAAAGUUCGGUGUAAAGGCUUUCUAGAAAAUUGGAUUUUGGUUUUGCUUUCAUUUCGGUUAUUCGUUCCCGAAAACCAAACAGAAGGAUUGCUGUCCUUGCAAAGGUCAUAAUUGAACUUCUCUAAGUUCAUGUCCAUAGCUUGUUUUCUCCCUAAAUAAGAUGGAGAAGGAUGCAAAUGUUACUGUCUCACUUGUUCCAGCCUCAGAGUUACUCUCUCAGACUAUCCUGACUGUCUUUGACACUGUACAUGCUGCCAAAGCAGUCAUCAUUCAAGAUGCGAAUUUCCAGCAAUUCGCAAUUUAUUUGGAGAUGGUCACAGUGGUCCUGAAAGAGUUGGCCAAUCUAAAGAUAGAGGAUUCUGAGAGGUUAAAAAUUGCUGUUGCAAAUCUUAAUCGAGAGAUUAAGGUUGCAAAGCAGCUAACUGUGGAGUGUGGGAAGAGAAACAAGAUCUAUCUCUUAGUCAAUUGCCAGAGAAUUUCCAAGGACUUAGAGUGUAUCACAAAAGAGAUUAGUCGGGUUCUAGGCCUUAUUCCUGAUAUUUCAUUCAAUAUUAAUGAUAAGAUUAGUAAACUACGCAAGGAUAUGUUAGAUUCCAAGUAUCAAGCAACUGCAGUGGAGGAAGAAAUUCUGGAAAAAAUUGAAACUGGUAUACGGGAGAGGAAUGUCGACAAAUCCUAUGCAAAUAAUUUGCUCCUCUGUAUUGCCGAGGCUGCUGGGAUUUCAACUGAGCAGUCAGUAUUGAAGAGAGAGUUAGAACAAUUCAAGAGUGAAAUAGAGGAUGUGAACCUCAGAGAAGACAGUGCAGAAGCUUUAAAAAUGGGAAAGAUUGUUGCAUUGCUUGCAAAAGCAGAUGCUGCCACAUCUCCUGAGGAGAAAGAAAUCAAAUAUUUUAAUCAGCGAAAUUCUUUGGGUACGCAACGACUGGAACCUCUACAUGCAUUCUACUGUUCAAUCACUCAUGAUGUCAUGGUGGAUCCUGUGGAAACUUCCUCAGGGCAGACAUUUGAGAGAAGUGCAAUAGAGAAGUGGAUUGCAGAAGGGAAUAAGCUCUGUCCAUUGACAGCGACUCCCUUGGACAUGUCAGCUCUACGACCUAACAAAAUUCUUCGACAAUCAAUUGAAGAAUGGAAGGAUAGGAACACCAUGAUUAUGCUUGCUUCUCUCAAACCUGCACUCCAUUCAAAUGAUGAGCAAGAAGUUCUUCAAUCUCUGGGCAAGCUGCAUGAUCUAUGUAUUGAACGAGAGUUGCACCGUGAAUGGGUAAUGAUGGAUGAGUACUGUCCAAUUCUUAUUGGACUUCUUGGUGCAAAAAACCGUGAAAUAAGAAAACUUUCUCUAGUCAUCCUUUGCAUUCUUGCAAAGGAUAGCAAUGAGAAUAAGGAAAGAAUUGCUAGAGUGAAUAAUGCAAUUGAAUCAAUUGUUCGUUCCCUUGCCCGCCAGAUUGGGGAAAGCAAGUUAGCGUUGCAAUUACUAUUGGAGCUAUCAAGAAGUAAUCUAGUGCGUGACUUCAUCGGCAAUGUUCAGGGUUGCAUAUUUCUCUUAGUGACUAUCUCCAGUGGUGAUGAUACUCAAGCUGCCAAAGAUGCAAAGGAGCUUUUGGAAAAUCUCUCUUUUCUUGAUCAGAAUGUUAUUCAGAUGGCAAGGGCAAAUUAUUUUAAACCUUUGUUGCGCCUUCUUUCUUCAGGGCCAGUGAAUGCUAAAAUGACUGUGGCUGCUACUUUGUCAGAGAUUGAGUUAACUGACAAUAAUAAAUUGAGUCUAUUUGAAGAUGGAGCACUUCAGCCACUUCUAGUAUUGCUCUCACAUAGUGAUAUGGAGAUGAAGAAAGUGGCUGUUAAAGCUCUUUAUAACCUCUCCAGUGUGCCACAAAAUGGAUUGCGGAUGAUUAGAGAAGGUGCUGCAGGCCCAUUGUUUGAACUUCUCUACCGUCACAGCUUGUCUUCCCCAAGUUUGCGUGGAGAGGUGGCAGUUAUCAUUAUGCACCUUGCAAUAUCAACCACAACCCUGGAAGCUGAUCAAAUGCACGUUUCAUUGUUGGAAUCUGAGGAAGAUAUAUUCAAGCUUUUCUCUCUCAUAUCCUUGACAGGACCUGACAUACAACAAAUUAUUCUCCGAACUUUUCAUGCCAUGUGUCAAUCUCAUUCUGGUUUAGACAUCAGAACUAAGUUAAGGCAGCUCUCUUCUGUUCGAGUACUAGUUCAAUUAUGCGAGUUUGACAACCAUACAGUACGUGCAAAUGCUGUGAAGCUCUUUUGUUGCUUGACAGAAGAUGGUGAAGACAGUACCUUUUUAGAGCAUGUGAGCCAGAGAUACAUAGAGACAUUAAUCAGAAUAAUCAAAACUUCCGAUAAUGUGGAAGAGAUUGCUGGUGCAAUGAGUAUCAUCUCUAACCUUCCUAAGGAGGCCCAUAUAACGCAGUGGCUUCUUGAUUCCGGAGCUCUUCAAAUCAUUUUUACUUGUCUUACUGAUGGAAAUAGUAGUGCUUCAUACAAAAGGCAAUUAAUUGAGAAUGCUGUUGGCGCUCUUUGUCGUUUCACUGUUUCAACAAAUCAGAAUUGGCAAAAGGAGGUAGCCAAAUGUGGUUUUUUCCCAAUCCUGCUACAGUUUCUAGAUUCUGGAACAGCUUUGACAAAGAGAAAUGCAGCAGUUUCACUUAAGCAAUUUUCAGAAAGUUCCAAUGGCUUAAGCCAACCAGUGAAGAAGCAUGGAGUUUUUUGGUGCUGUUUGGCCUCUCGUGAAACUGGUUGCCGAGUGCACUUAGGCAUCUGUACAGUUGAGUCCUCAUUUUGUCUUUUAGAGGCUAAUGCUGUAGAACCCCUAGUGAGGGUGCUUGUGGAACCAGAUGUUGGAGCUUGUGAAGCUUCUUUAGAUGCACUUUUGACAUUGAUUGAUGGUGAAAGAUUGCAAAAUGGGAGUAAGGUGCUUUCUGAAGUUAAUGCUAUUGUUCCAAUUAUAAGGUUAUUGAGUUCAUCGUGUACCAAGUUGCAGGAGAAAGCUCUGAAGGCUUUAGAAAGGAUCUUUCGACUAAUUGAUUUCAAACAGAAGUAUGGGAAUUUAGCCCAAAUGUCAUUAGUUGACAUUACUCAGAGGGGACAUGGUGGUAUGAAAUCCUUAGCUGCCAAAGUACUUGCUCACUUGGAUGUGCUCCAUGAACAAUCUUCUUACUUCUAAUGGAUGGUGGGUGAUGGAGUUUGUUAUAGUUUAGCAUAAUGCCAUUUCUGUGAGUACCAUGUGAAGAAAGCCUUUCUGGAUAUGCAAAUUAGAUUCCAUCCUUAACCACAAUGGGAGGCUACAUUGAACAUCCCUGAUAAGGAAUAUAGAGGUUUGUACUUGCCACAUCCAAUGGAGAUUCUGCUAGUGCACUCAAAUUGUUUUUUCAGUAGCACAUAACAAGUUCCAGCAUCAAGACUGAGAUUUGCAAAGACAAAGAAGAAGAAGAAGAAGAGAAAAAAGAAAAAUAGGGUUUCAUUGAUGAAAGGCUUACAAAAGAGAUUACGUAAAAAACUUUAUAUAGGCUAACAAGAAAAGUUAAAAGACUAUUCUACCCUUAUUGAUGAUAAGAAAUAACUAAGCUAAAAUACUAUCUAACAUUCUCCCUCAAACUCACGAUGCAGUAGCAAGAAGUAUCGAGAGUUUGCCAACAAAAAAAUAAAAUCACUGAACAGUCUAAGACUUGGUGAAGGAGUCAACAAUCUGCAUGGAAGAAGAGACAAAGGACAAAGCAAUCAUCUCACGCUGGAGUUCUUGCCGAGUAGUAUGACAAUCGAUAUCAAUGUCUUUGGUUCGCUCAUGAAAAACUGAAUUGCGGGUAAUUUGAAUGGCACUCUUAUUGUCGCAGUAAAGAGAAGUGAGAGUAGUAAUAGGUACACCCAUAUCUACUAUUAACCAACACAACCAAACAAUCUCAUUUGUGGUAGUUGCCAUAGCACGGUACUCAACCUCAAUGGAAAAUUGAGAGACAACGUUCUAUUUUUUACUCUUCCAUGAAAUAAGAGAUCCACCUAAGAAGAUGCAAAAACCAAUUGUAGACUUACGAUCAUUUGGGUUACUAGCCUAAUCAGCAUCACAGUAUGCACAAAGCUCCAAAAAGGAAGUCGAAGGAAAGACAAGACUCUGACAAAGAGUGCCCCAAAGAUAGCAUAAAAUGCGAAGAACAACAACCCAAUGAAUUGUAGUGGGGAAUGCAACGAACUGAUUGACAAUGUGCACAACAUGAGAAAUAUCUGGACGAGUAAUAGUGAGAUAAAUUAAGCUACCAACCAGGGUUCGAUACAAAGUGGGAUCAGGCAAAUGAGUACCAUUUGUAGAGGCAUAUCGAACAUUAAGCUCCAGAGGAGUAUCAACAGUCCAAGUAUCUGUAAGUUGAGCUCAUUGAAGGAUAUCUGCUAUGUAUUUAGACUAAGAAAGAAGGUAACCCUUAGGAGAACGGGCAACCUCAAUACCCAAGAAGUAACGUAAAGGACCUAAGUCUUUCAUGUCAAACUAUUGAGUCAAUUCAGUCUUUAGCCGUGCAAUACUACCAUCAACAUCAUCACUAGUAAUAAUCAUGUCAUCAAAAGAGCUGAAUCAUGAGCACUAGAAUAAAAACCAAGGGAAGUAACCGCUGCAGAAAACCUCUCAAACCAAGCUCGAGGGGCUUGUUUGAGACCAUACAAAGCCUUUUUGAGUCUGCAAACUUCUCUAGGGUUGUGAGAAAUACUAGGAGAAGGUACCAUAUAAACUUCCUUUUUAAGAUCUCCAUUUAAGAAAAUGUUUUUAACUUCCAUCUGUGAGAUGUGCCACUGGCGGGCAGAGGCAACUACAAUGAGAGCACAAAUAGUGAUUAUCUUGGCAACUGGUGCAAAAGUCUUCUCAUGGUUCAUACCAUAUUUCUAAGCAAAACCCUUCGCAACCAACCUAGCUUUGUAGUGCUCAACUGAACCAUAUGACUUUGUUUUGAUUUUAUAAAUCCAACAAGAACCAAUAGAGCUCUUACACUAGCGGAAGUGGCACAAAUCCCAAGUAUUUGUCCGAUGUAAAGCAAAAAGUUCCUCAGCCAUAGCCUGCUCCCAAUUGGGAUCAAGAACAACCUCUGUAUAGGAGGUAGGCUCACAAAGAUUGUGAAGAGAUGCUAAAAAUGAAGUAAAUGAAAGAGAAUAACAAGAAUAAGCAAAAUUUUGUAACUUAGUGGACUUACAAAUGCGCUUUGGAUAGCGAGAUGGAAGAGGAUCUGCAAUCACAAGAUGUGCUAAGAUGACAGAAGAAGGAGGCAUGGAGGCAUCAUUUGUGGAUGGUGGAGCAUCAGAAAUACCAUGAGUUGUAUCAUUCGUAGUUGCUUGAGUCCCAUGUGAAUAAUGAUAAGGGAAAGGUUGGAUGGGAGAAGGUAAGGGAGUGACAAGAUAGGGAACAUCAUGUGAUAUGGGUCAGCUAGUAGGAGACAUAGGGUUAGGAGGAUCAUCAAGUAAAUGGUCAAUGCAAAUAAUAUUGGACUUUGAUAAGGUAUGACACUUGGUAGGAAUAGAGAAAAAAGGAAUAUGGUCAAGGAAGAAGACAUGACAAGAAAUAUAUAACUGUUGAGCUACAAGAUCAUAACAAUGAUAACCCUUUUGACCCUCACCAUAGCUAAGAAAGACACAAAUGAUGGAGUGUGAAGAUAGCUUGUUACAUUCUACACUAGGACGAAGAAUGAAACAAGUGCAACCAAAAACCCGUAAAGAAGAGUAGUCAAGAGGGUGACCAUACAAAUUUUCAUAGGGAGAUAGACAUGAUGUAUGAGAAGAAGGUGUUUUAUUGAUCAAAUGCACAACAGUGAGAACAACUUUGCCCCAAAAUGCACUUGGGACACCAGCAGACAAGAGAAGGGAGCGAGCAGUCCCAACAAUAUGCCUAUGUUUUCUUUUAACGACCUCAUUCUGUUGAGGAGUGUCAGUACAAGAGGAUUGAUGCAUAGUACCAUCAAAGAUAAGUAAUUCAGAAAAGGCUAUAAAUGUAUAUUCCCCACCUAAAUCACAACGAAAGCACUUGAUAAUAGCAGAGUGUUGAGUUUUAACAAAUGAGCGAAAAGUAGUAUAAACAUGUAUAAAAUCAAACCGAUGCCUCAUUAGAUAAACCCAACAAUAUCGAGUGUGAUCAUCAAUAAAUGAGACAUAAUAUUUGGACCACCCUUUUGUGGCAACAGUGGAAGGUCCCCACACAUUAGAAUGAAUCAAGUCAAAUGGUGCAACAAAGGGGGAAACACUUCGAUUAAAGAGUAAAGCAGAAAACUUUGCCAAUUUACAACCACUACAAUAAGAAAUAUCAUGAGUUUGAAAAUUGCCCAAAAAUCCGUUAGAAAUUAAAUAUUUUAAAUGAGGGGUCGAAAUAUGGCCAAGUCUAGAGUGCCACGAAUAAAAACUAGAGGAAGAUGAAGUUAAAUGGAAAUAUGACAAAUCAACACUCAAAGCAGCUAAAUUUGAAACUCGUGGAAGUCGCAACUCGUCCAUGACAUAUAAGCCCUCCUGCCUACAACCUAUCCCAAUCAACCUCUGGGAUUGAGGAUCUUAUACAUGACAAGAAGUAGGAGAAAGCGAACAAAAUAACAAGAAUCAUAGAGUUGACUCACAAAUAUGAGAUUCAUAGUAAGUUUAGGAAUGCAAUAAACAUUAAAAAGAGACAAAUAAGGUGUGCAUAUAGAACCAACACCUGCUAAAGGCAUUGGAGUGCUAUCAGCAGUGAUGACUGACACAGAGAAAGGAGAAUGGCACAUAGAUACAAAAGAAGAUGAAAAAAGUGACAUAUGAUGUGAGGCACCAUAGUCUAAGACCCAUAAAGAAGAGGAUUUACUUGAAAUGUUAGGGAAUGGUAGCCCUGAUGAAGAUGGAGUAGACAUGGCAUACGACUGUAGCGAUAGUUGUGUAGUAAGGAACUUCUAAAACUGCUCUAGAAUGGCCAUGUUGAGAUUUGAGGAUGAUGCAACUUUAGGUAUAAGUGUUGUAGUAUUAGACUAUGAUGACCUAUAAGCUCGUUUUUUAGGUUGUCCUUCAGGAUGCCAUUGUUGUGAAGGUGUGGUUGCCAUUGCUGUUACGUAGCAGGAGGUAGUUGCCCUACUAUUGCAUAGGAGGAGGUGGUCGCCACUAUAGCUAUGUAGGAAGAGGUUGUUGAAAUGUUUGUGCUUUAUGCAAUAGUUUAGGACACUGAGCCUUUCAAUGUCCUUUUUGCUUACAAAAGUUGCACUCAUCAAAACUAACAUGUGUAGGUGAUUUAGUUUGGUUGCUUGAGAAAGGUUUGCUAGGAAUGGCUAGAACUGAUGGGCUAGAUGCUGGGGAAGGCCCUUUCCUACCUGAGUCUUAAGACAUGGUUGUUCAACUAGAAGCUCACUUACCAUUGUAUCAAUAGAGGGGGUGACGACAACGAUGUAGAAUAUUUCCCCAAAGCCCCUCAAAGUCAUUACGAAGAGCCAUCAAGAACUCAACAAGACGUUGCCGUUCUCGACGAGUUAGAUACUCAACAUUGCUUUGAAGAGACGUGGGCUCCGUGAGCUCCAACUGAUCCCAAAGAUCAGACAUCGUAGAAUAAAACUCUUGGGUACUCAUCCUUUUGUUGCACUGCUCAAAUAUCAGACUCCAAUUGAUAUUGUUUUGCAAAGUUUGAUUGUGUGUACAACAGUGCCAAAUGAUCCCAAACUGUUUUUGCAAUCUCAUAUUUUGCCAAUUGUAUGCCAAUUGCUCAACAAAAUUAUUAAUCCAAAUUAGAAUCUUUGAGUUGUUUGCUUCCCGACUCUCUAACAUAUCAAUAUAUUUUUCAUCCCUAUCAUUUGUAGGUUUGCUCAAGACACCACUGACAUAACCCCACAUUCGUUUCCCUUUCAAAAAAUUUCUCAUCACAUAACUCUAAUACGAGUAAUUAUUUCCAUCUAAUCUGACACUAAUGGAUUGAAGAGAGUCAUCUCUUUCACCAACCAUGAUCAACUAAUAAUCUUACCACAAUAUAAUCCAAACAAAACAAAGCGAGCAAGAAUAUCAAAUAAUUGAACCUCCAAAAUAGCUGCAAAAAAUACGUCUUCAAAUUUGCUUGCGAAACCACAAAAAAAUAAAUAAAUAAAUAAAUAAAUAAAACAAACAAACAAACAAACAAUACUUCAAAGUUGCCGAAAAUCCUUUUUAAAACAAAUUAAGAUUGACAAAAGAUCUUCGCGAAAAACCCCCCAAAAUUUUUUUUGCCAUGAAAUCUUCUAUCAAAGGCCCUAUGUUGAUCAUUGCUCUAAUACCAUGUGAGAUUUGCAAAGACAAAGAAGAAGAAGAAGAAGAAAAGAAAAAAGAAAACUGGGGUUUCAUUGACAAAAAGCUUAAGAAAGAGAUUACAUAAAAAGUUUUGUAGAGGCUAACAAGAAAAGCUAAAAGACUAUUCUACCCUUAUUGAUGAUAAGAAAUAAUUAAGCUAAAAUACUAUCUAACAAAGACCACCAUAAACAAUGUGGGUGUAGUGUUCUUGCCAUUUCUAUUGAUACUUUAAGAUAACAAAUUCAGAGGGGAAACCGACAAUGAUCAAACAAGUAAAGUUAACAGCAGAAGCUGAAAACAUUACUGUUGUGGCACCAAUAUGAAAUGCUUGUAGACAUGGUAAAUCAUUCCCUCUUUGGAAAGACCUUAUAUGCAAACCAGAAAAGGAGAAAAGCAAGGGCUCCACUAAGAAGAACCAAUUGACAUAUUGAGAUUUCCAAAGGUUCCGCAUCAAGUCUAGAGGUUGUCAUUAGGCAACUUGGAGGUAUCACAGAGGUUGGGCAUGGCUCCCAUCAACCACCAUGCAAUUAUUAGGUGGAAUCUUUGUAUAGCGGCCAGGCUUGAAAUUUGCUAGAAAGGUUAAAGCUUGAGUCAUGCUGAUGUACCCAUAUAACUCGAAGCACAUGUCAGAGACCGGGUGCCCCAGUUGUGAUAACAAUCGGGAGGAUGAAGAAGACAAUAGAGCAAGCAAGCAAGAAAGAAAACCAAGGCAACUGAAGUUCCUUUUUGUAAUACUCGCAUGCAAACAUAAAAGCAGCAAUAGCCAACACAAGGGUGAUGAGGAACGAUCACAUGAUUACUGAAUUGUACUUCUCAAUAAGCAAUGUGCCUCAUUCAAAAUGAGAAGUAGAAGAAACUCCCAACUUGGAGAAGAUCACACUUUAAUGGAGUAACUAUUUUUUCAUUGAUAGCAUAACAUGAAUAAAUGAUAAUGCCAUACUAGACCAGAUACCUUCUCAUCAAAGAGAGAGUUUGAAGAAUUUAAGAGUGGAUUGGGUAUAGGUAAGGAAAUAGAACAGAUUGUUUCCAGCUACAUCUCUUGAGAGGAAAGGAACGACAAAUGUUUUUCUUCUACACGUUAACAAAACUCUCCAGGUUGCUAUCACUGCUCAAACAUUGGAGGGCAAUCACCAUUCCCAAGCUUGCAAAGAAUGGAAUGGAGAAUAAGGAUAUGAUUGCCAAAGCAAAUGAAACCAUUGUUCAAUUUGCACCAGUGAAGAGCAAUUAAGUUUGGUACUUGCUAUUUUGAUUUGGCAUUCAUCUAAAAGGCUAACAAACCCAGUUAUGUGCCUUCAGCAUGUCAGGAGUCACACAUAUAACGAAAGGCUAAACUGUGUACAUCUACAGAAGAAGAGAAUAAAAGGUAUUGUUUCAAACUACAGGGGUCAAUCAAAAGGCUGUAUCAGAAAACAGGGCAGCCAUCAACUACAAUUCCUUUGGCAGUUGGGCAUGAAGCCAAGGGGCAUCCUUCUGGAUUGUUUCCCCACCAGUCGAUGCUAAUAUUCCUGGACCCGAGGGUAAGGAAUAUUAAUAUGGUCAUGAAGGCAGUUCCAGCAUCAAGACCACCAGAAACAACAUAGUUAUAGCGCUCCCACAACUUUGGUUUGUACCUGAAGAUUACAAAUCCAGAGAGGAACCCAACAAUGAUCCAACUCGUGAAGUUAACAGCAGAGGCUGGGGGCAUCAUUGCUGUGGAACCUAACAAGACUGGCAUGUGGAUAAGGGGAAUCCAUUUCUUUUUUGGGAAUGCCUUGUGCAUGAGCCAGACUAGGAGAGGGGCAAUGGCUCCAAGCAGAAAGAACCAGUUGACAUUCGAGUAGGCACCCAGGUUUCCAAAGAUUCGGCGAGUGCCAAUAAGCCCCCAAAUAACAGAGGCAUCGAAGAAGACAUUGUCCAUUGGGCAUCUCCAUGGACUGUCUGCAGGCAACAUAGUGGUAUCACAGAGGUUGGGAAUGGUUGCCAUCAACCACCAGGCAGUUAUCACGUAUACAAUUACAGCCACAACUGUUCCUACCACCUUGCAAUACCAAGGUGGAAUCUUCAUGUAGUGGCCCAGCUUGAAGUCGGCCAGAAAGGUUAGAGCUUGAGUCAUGCUGAUGUACCCAUAAACCUUGAAGCACAUGUUGGCAACAGGACGGCCUGGUGAUGAUGCCGAUUGGAAGGGUGAAGAAAAAGGCAAUGGCACAAGCAAGCAAGACACCCCACCACGGCAACUGAAGUACGUCAUUGUAAUACUCACAUGCAAAUAUGAUAGUGGCAAUGUUCACAACGUGGAUCACAAAAAACCACCAAUUGGGCACUGACUUGUACUUCUUCAUUAGCCAUGUAUGUAUAUCCAUCUUUUUCUCUCCAAAGGCACCUUUUGUUUGUUUCCAUAGCUCACUGCAUUUACCAGCUUAAAAGAGCUUUAGUUCAUGUUA